UCUUACCUACGGGGGGCAGCAGUGGGGAAUAUUGGGCAAUGGGCGCAAGCCUGACCCAGCAACGCCGCGUGAAGGAAGAAGGCUUUCGGGUUGUAAACUUCUUUUCUCAGGGACGAAGAAAGUGACGGUACCUGAGGAAUAAGCCACGGCUAACUACGUGCCAGCAGCCGCGGUAAUACGUAGGUGGCAAGCGUUAUCCGGAUUUACUGGGUGUAAAGGGAGCGUAGGCGGAAAGGCAAGUCAGAAGUGAAAGCCCAAGGCUCAACCAUGGGACUGCUUUUGAAACUGUCAAACUAGAGUACUGG
RNAcentral lists this ribosomal RNA (305 nucleotides) under uncultured bacterium. RNAcentral describes it as "bacterial SSU rRNA". It matches the Rfam family "Bacterial small subunit ribosomal RNA", at positions 333 to 652 of the family's 1533-position model. The record is from RNAcentral.